Molecule: ribosomal RNA, 434 nt
Filed under: uncultured bacterium
Lineage: Bacteria
Description: bacterial SSU rRNA
Rfam family: Bacterial small subunit ribosomal RNA
Source: RNAcentral
AUUGAACGCUGGCGGCAUGCCUUACACAUGCAAGUCGAACGGUAACAGGUUAAGCUGACGAGUGGCGAACGGGUGAGUAAUAUAUCGGAACGUGCCCAAUCGUGGGGGAUAACGCAGCGAAAGUUGUGCUAAUACCGCAUAAGAUCUACGGAUGAAAGCGGGGGAUCGCAAGACCUCGCGCGAGUGGAGCGGCCGAUAUCAGAUUAGCUAGUUGGUGGGGUAAAGGCCCACCAAGGCGACGAUCUGUAGCUGGUCUGAGAGGACGACCAGCCACACUGGGACUGAGACACGGCCCAGACUCCUACGGGAGGCAGCAGUGAGGAAUAUUGGGCAAUGGGCGCAAGCCUGACCCAGCAACGCCGCGUGGAGGAAGACGGCCUUCGGGUUGUAACUCCUUUACGGGUAAGAGGAAGGACGGUACCCGACGAAUAAGU